This 74-nucleotide transfer RNA is filed under the name Gonatodes annularis (annulated gecko). Its description in RNAcentral is "tRNA-Asn". It matches the Rfam family "tRNA". Rfam says of the family: Transfer RNA (tRNA) molecules are approximately 80 nucleotides in length. Their secondary structure includes four short double-helical elements and three loops (D, anti-codon, and T loops). Lineage: Eukaryota; Metazoa; Chordata; Lepidosauria; Squamata; Sphaerodactylidae. The record is from RNAcentral.
UAGAUUGAAGUCCGCUGGGUUGGGCGCUUAGUUGUUAACUAAGUUAUUACGGGAUCGAGGCCCGUCAGUCUAGC